CAGGCAUCAUGAUUCCACCAGAGGUCU
This 27-nucleotide non-coding RNA is filed under the name Mus musculus (house mouse). Lineage: Eukaryota; Metazoa; Chordata; Mammalia; Rodentia; Muridae. The record is from RNAcentral.